CUACACAGAGAAUUCCAGGACAGC
This 24-nucleotide non-coding RNA is filed under the name Cricetulus griseus (Chinese hamster). The record is from RNAcentral. Lineage: Eukaryota; Metazoa; Chordata; Mammalia; Rodentia; Cricetidae.